Molecule: long non-coding RNA, 188 nt
Organism: Zingiber officinale
Lineage: Eukaryota; Viridiplantae; Streptophyta; Magnoliopsida; Zingiberales; Zingiberaceae
Exons: 3
Source: RefSeq, a predicted model, not a curated record
AAAGUAUCAAACGGAGACAGCAUAUGCCUUAUCCCAUACAACACUGGUGGAGUGAGGACGUACCUUUGUAUGAGGGGUAAUCCAAAACGACCAACUUUCAAACAGUUGACGGGUAAUCUCAAACAACAAGGUUGUGUUGAAUGUGGAUAUUGUGUCAUGCGGUACAUGAAGGAGAUUGUUGAAUGUGA